AUGCCUUGCACAGCCUUUCACGUGCAUCCUUUGCCCCCCUGCCAGGACAGCAAGUUUGCUUUUUCCUGGAGCCCCUUCAGCCCUGGGAUGCCAGAGAGGAUGCCAGAAGGAGAAAAUGCCUCAGUGACAUAAAUCUUAUUUGGUGGAGCCAGCAUCAUCAGAUAAAAAACAGAUAAGAUCAAACCUUGCCUUUAAAUUCCAGAUCUCCUGGCUUGAGAAAAUAUGGAGAUCAGAUUACGGUGUAACUUUCAAUGGGCUUCAGAGAUUUCUGCCCAAGUGGGAUGGUAAAAAAUGUAGAUCCUUCAAGAUCCUGGAAGGAACAGAUAUGCCGUAUUUGUGCAGUAGUCAGCCGUUUCUGAUAAGGAACAGAGGAUAUUCAGGUCUGAUUGCUGAUGUUUUCCACAUAAAAGCUGUGUUCUCCUUCAGGAAAAGGACUCGAGUCUCCUCAGCAAACAUUAAAGCCAGCCCUUACACCCAGCCUAACUCUCCUUGUCGGCUUUGAUCCAAAACAUUCUUCUAAGCAGGAGAAGGCUGGGGAAGGGAGAGGGGAAGGGACCAGGGGGAAGACUGAAUAAGGGAGCCAAGAGGCUGCUCUGGAAAAUCACUGCUGAAGUUACAGGAGGGGAAUUAAUCUUGAGAGGCCUCAUGUAACAGUUCCAUCCAUCAAACGUGACACUGGUACCAUUAUUAGAGAAGACGGAAAAUUAAAUUGCAAAAUUA
Long non-coding RNA from Pseudopipra pipra, 720 nucleotides. RefSeq lists it as uncharacterized. The record is from RefSeq and is a predicted model, not a curated record. Lineage: Eukaryota; Metazoa; Chordata; Aves; Passeriformes; Pipridae. The transcript is spliced from 2 exons.